AGUGAACGCUGGCGGUAGGCCUAACACAUGCAAAUCGAACGGCAGCACAGUAAGAGCUUGCUCUUACGGGUGGCGAGUGGCGGACGGGUGAGGAAUACAUCGGAAUCUACUUUUUCGUGGGGGAUAACGUAGGGAAACUUACGCUAAUACCGCAUACGACCUACGGGUGAAAGCAGGGGAUCUUCGGACCUUGCGCGAUUGAAUGAGCCGAUGUCGGAUUAGCUAGUUGGCGGGGUAAAGGCCCACCAAGGCGACGAUCCGUAGCUGGUCUGAGAGGAUGAUCAGCCACACUGGAACUGAGACACGGUCCAGACUCCUGCAGGAGGCAGCAGUGGGGAGUAUUGGACAAUGGGCGCAAGCCUGAUCCAGCCAUACCGCGUGGGUGAAGAAGGCCUUCGGGUUGUAAAGCCCUUUUGUUGGGAAAGAAAAGCAGCAGGUUAAUACCCCGCUGUUCUGACGGUACCCAAAGAAUAAGCACCGGCUAACUUCGUG
Molecule: ribosomal RNA, 492 nt
Filed under: uncultured bacterium
Lineage: Bacteria
Description: partial 16S ribosomal RNA
Rfam family: Bacterial small subunit ribosomal RNA
Source: RNAcentral